This 1385-nucleotide long non-coding RNA is filed under the name Gallus gallus (chicken). RNAcentral's name for it is "lncRNA (ENSGALG00010028827.1)". The record is from RNAcentral. Lineage: Eukaryota; Metazoa; Chordata; Aves; Galliformes; Phasianidae.
CUCUAUCUGUAAACCAGAUGUGAUUCCCUGCACUCUCCAGGUGAAAGUGCCGACCUCGUGGAGAAAGCAUUAAAACGCAGAUCUUAAUUCCCAGAAAUCCGAAUUACGUCCUUCCUGUUUCUCCCCACUUCCACUGCCACCCUCUCGUUCUGAAAACAUACAGCACUGCAUCGAAUGGAUGUGGGCGCUGAGAUUUCCCCUCUAAGAUCAUCCUACAGCAAACCUGCAAGCUGGGGAGCUCGGCUUCCCUUCCCAAGCACUGGAAAGCCCCUGAAAAUAAUACAUAUAUAGUUUUCUCCCCAAAUACGUGUUGGUGGCUAUAGAAACUGAGUGCAGGAGUCCAACAAGAACAGAAUCCUGCGCUGCUUUUAUUACGUAUUCAUGCAAACAGCCCUCUGUCCAAGCGUGAGGCCAUCACUUAUCCUUUCUCUUGCAAUGCGAUUUCUGGGGACGAAUCCCCUCUAUUUCUUCUUGCUGUUUGCAUCAGCGAAGUGCGAACUCGCCCGUGGCACCCGGAGAAACCGCAGCAAUAACAAUAAACAGCGAUGCAUACAUUUACAAGGAGACGUUCCGUACCGGACUUGAUUUAUUUACUCUGUUUAAAACGGAGUUAAAACUCACGUGGCAGCAAAAAAAAAAAAACCGAUACGGCUGGAAGAGAUGGGAGCUGUGAUGCUGUCAGUGCACGUGUGUGUUUGUGCGCACAUCCACGAAGCAAAACGCGGCGUUGGUUUCAGCCGUGGCUUCACGUUGUGGGGUAACAACUUCUCACCUGGUUGAAAGAUACCUAUUUGUACGCUGUGAAAUGUGAGAUUUCAUGUCCCAUUGGCGGCGCAUUCGAUCAAAUCGGGGCUGAACGGGUCCGUAGGAAAUUAAAGGACGGAUUUAAAGUUAAAAAUCCUCUUGCGGUGCUUUCUGAGAGAGCUGCGCUGCUCGUUAAUACAUAGAGAUGUAAAUGACAGCGGUCGUGGGUAGAUGGGUCGAAUAAAUCACUAAACCCCAUCAUUUCGGUAACAGAGGAUCGAGAGGAGAGCGCAAACCGUGCGGGGAACUUCUUCCCUCUUUUCUCCGUUCCCAAUCCCUCUGUGCGGAUGAGCCCCGACCGUUCAUAGAGCUGCUCCCUGUUUUCCCCUCCGCCUUUCUUGGGGGGACUGCGGGGCCCCAAGGAGAGAAAGGAAACGUUCCGCGGGUGCGGAGCUCCGAGGUGCGGGGCUGCGCCCAACCGUGCGCUGCGUUUCCUCCUCUUUUCAGCCCUAUCCGGCUGAUAUCGGCGCUUUUAAUUUUAAUUUAUAUAUAUUUAAUUACUAGCUCGUCAAGCCUCAGCCACCCAAGCCUUUCUUUUUUUAUUCCGUGGUGCUUUUUUUGCUGCUCACCCCCCCCCCCAU